CGCUCUUUGUGCCCACUAAAUAGAGAGUCGUGCCUGCCCAGUGAAUAUUUUUAACGGCCGCAGUACCCUGACUGUGCUAAGGUAGCAUAAUCACUUGCUUUUUAAUUGAAAGCUAGAAUGAAUGGCUUGACGUAAACACCCCUGUCUCUUUUACACUAUCUAAAAAUUAAUCUUUAGGUGAAGAAGCCUAAAUACUUUCAAAAGACGAAAAGACCCUAUCGAGCUUAAAAAAAAAAUAAACAAAAUUUUUAGAAAAACUAAAAUUAUAAUAAACUUUUGGUUGGGGCGACAGAAGAACAAAAAAAACUUCUUUUUAAAAAAAUAACAUAUUAGUUUUUUGAUCCACCACUAGUGAUUAAAAAAAAAGUUACCGUAGGGAUAACAGCGUAAUUUCUUCGGAGAGUUCAAAUUGAAAAAGAAGUUUGCGACCUCGAUGUUGGAUUAGAAAAUCUUUUUGGUGCAGCCGCUAUAAUAGAAGGUCUGUUCGACCUUUAAAUUUCU
This 501-nucleotide ribosomal RNA is filed under the name Nuttallochiton mirandus. RNAcentral describes it as "partial 16S ribosomal RNA". It matches the Rfam family "Bacterial large subunit ribosomal RNA", at positions 1816 to 2597 of the family's 2925-position model. The record is from RNAcentral. Lineage: Eukaryota; Metazoa; Mollusca; Polyplacophora; Chitonida; Mopaliidae.